GUAAGCUACUAAGAGCGAAUGGUGGAUGCCUUGACUGGUAAAGGCGAUGAAGGACGUACUAGACUGCGAUAAGCUACGGGGAGCUGUCAAGAAGCUUUGAUCCGUAGAUUUCCGAAUGGGGCAACCCAAUGUAUAGAGAUAUACAUUACCUAUAUAGGAGCGAACGAGGGGAAUUGAAACAUCUUAGUACCCUCAGGAAAAGAAAUCAAUAGAGAUUGCGUCAGUAGCGGCGAGCGAAAGCGCAAGAGGGCAAACCCAGUGCUUGCACUGGGGGUUGUAGGACUGCAAUGUGCAAGAGGUGAGUUUAGCAGAACAUUCUGGAAAGUAUAGCCAUAGAGGGUGAUAGUCCCGUAUGCGAAAAACAAACCUUAGCUAGCAGUAUCCUGAGUAGGGCGGGACACGAGAAAUCCUGUCUGAAGCUGGGUCGACCACGAUCCAACCCUAAAUACUAAUACCAGAUCGAUAGUGCACAAGUACCGUGAGGGAAAGGUGAAAAGAACUGAGGUGAUCAGAGUGAAAUAGAACCUGAAACCAUUUGCUUACAAUCAUUCAGAGCACUAUGUAGCAAUACAGUGUGAUGGACUGCCUUUUGCAUAAUGAGCCUGCGAGUUGUGGUGUCUGGCAAGGUUAAGCAAACGCGAAGCCGUAGCGAAAGCGAGUCUGAAUAGGGCGCUUAGUCAGAUGCUGCAGACCCGAAACGAAGUGAUCUAUCCAUGAGCAAGUUGAAGCUAGUGUAAGAACUAGUGGAGGACUGAACCCAUAGGCGUUGAAAAGCCCCGGGAUGACUUGUGGAUAGGGGUGAAAGGCCAAUCAAACUUCGUGAUAGCUGGUUCUCUCCGAAAUAUAUUUAGGUAUAGCGUUGUGUCGUAAUAUAAGGGGGUAGAGCACUGAAUGGGCUAGGGCAUACACCAAUGUACCAAACCCUAUCAAACUCCGAAUACCUUAUAUGUAAUCACAGCAGUCAGGCGGCGAGUGAUAAAAUCCGUCGUCAAGAGGGAAACAACCCAGACUACCAGCUAAGGUCCCUAAAUCUUACUUAAGUGGAAAACGAUGUGAAGUUACUUAAACAACCAGGAGGUUGGCUUAGAAGCAGCCAUCCUUUAAAGAAAGCGUAAUAGCUCACUGGUCUAGUGAUUUUGCGCGGAAAAUAUAACGGGGCUAAAGUAAGUACCGAAGCUGUAGACUUGACUUUGUCAAGUGGUAGGAGAGCGUUCUAUUUGCGUCGAAGGUAUACCGGUAAGGAGUGCUGGAGCGAAUAGAAGUGAGCAUGCAGGCAUGAGUAGCGAUAAUUAAUGUGAGAAUCAUUAACGCCGUAAACCCAAGGUUUCCUACGCGAUGCUCGUCAUCGUAGGGUUAGUCGGGUCCUAAGUCGAGUCCGAAAGGGGUAGACGAUGGCAAAUUGGUUAAUAUUCCAAUACCAACAUUAGUGUGCGAUGGAAGGACGCUUAGGGCUAAGGGGGCUAGCGGAUGGAAGUGCUAGUCUAAGGUCGUAGGUGCUUAUACAGGCAAAUCCGUAUAAGAAUACACCGAGAACUGAAAGGCUUUUUGAAGUCUUCGGAUGGAUAGAAGAACCCCUGAUGCCGUCGAGCCAAGAAAAGUUUCUAAGUUUAGCUAAUGUUGCCCGUACCGUAAACCGACACAGGUGGGUGGGAUGAGUAUUCUAAGGCGCGUGGAAGAACUCUCUUUAAGGAACUCUGCAAAAUAGCACCGUAUCUUCGGUAUAAGGUGUGGUUCGCUUCGUAUUAGGAUUUACUCCGAAAGCGAAGAAACUUACAACAAAGAGUCCCUCCCGACUGUUUACCAAAAACACAGCACUCUGCUAACUCGUAAGAGGAUGUAUAGGGUGUGACGCCUGCCCGGUGCUCGAAGGUUAAUUGAUGGGGUUAGCAUUAGCGAAGCUCUUGAUCGAAGCCCGAGUAAACGGCGGCCGUAACUAUAACGGUCCUAAGGUAGCGAAAUUCCUUGUCGGUUAAAUACCGACCUGCAUGAAUGGCGUAACGAGAUGGGAGCUGUCUCAAAGAGGGAUCCAGUGAAAUUGUAGUGGAGGUGAAAAUUCCUCCUACCCGCGGCAAGACGGAAAGACCCCGUGGACCUUUACUACAGCUUGACACUGCUAUUUGGAUAAGAAUGUGCAGGAUAGGUGGGAGGCUUUGAGUAUAUGACGCCAGUUGUAUAUGAGCCAUUGUUGAGAUACCACUCUUUCUUAUUUGGGUAGCUAACCAGCUUGAGUUAUCCUCAAGUGGGACAAUGUCUGGUGGGUAGUUUGACUGGGGCGGUCGCCUCCCAAAUAAUAACGGAGGCUUACAAAGGUUGGCUCAGAACGGUUGGAAAUCGUUCGUAGAGUAUAAAGGUAUAAGCCAGCUUAACUGCAAGACAUACAAGUCAAGCAGAGACGAAAGUCGGUCUUAGUGAUCCGGUGGUUCUGUGUGGAAGGGCCAUCGCUCAAAGGAUAAAAGGUACCCCGGGGAUAACAGGCUGAUCUCCCCCAAGAGCUCACAUCGACGGGGAGGUUUGGCACCUCGAUGUCGGCUCAUCGCAUCCUGGGGCUGGAGCAGGUCCCAAGGGUAUGGCUGUUCGCCAUUUAAAGCGGUACGCGAGCUGGGUUCAGAACGUCGUGAGACAGUUCGGUCCCUAUCUGCCGUGGGCGUAAGAAGAUUGAAGAGAUUUGACCCUAGUACGAGAGGACCGGGUUGAACAAACCACUGGUGUAGCUGUUGUUCUGCCAAGAGCAUCGCAGCGUAGCUAAGUUUGGAAAGGAUAAACGCUGAAAGCAUCUAAGCGUGAAGCCAACUCUAAGAUGAAUCUUCUCUAAGCUCUCUAGAAGACUACUAGUUUGAUAGGCUGGGUGUGUAAUGGAUGAAAGUCCUUUAGCUGACCAGUACUAAUAGAGCGUUUGGCUUAUCUUUA
Molecule: ribosomal RNA, 2907 nt
Filed under: Campylobacter coli
Lineage: Bacteria; Pseudomonadati; Campylobacterota; Epsilonproteobacteria; Campylobacterales; Campylobacteraceae
Description: bacterial LSU rRNA
Rfam family: Bacterial large subunit ribosomal RNA
Source: RNAcentral